GAUGAACGCUGGCGGCGUGCCUAAUACAUGCCAGUCGAGCGAACAGACGAGGAGCUUGCUCCUCUGACGUUAGCGGCGGACGGGUGAGUAACACGUGGAUAACCUACCUAUAAGACUGGGAUAACUUCGGGAAGCCGGAGCUAAUACCGGAUAAUAUCUUGAACCGCAUGGUUCAAUAGUGAAAGACGGUUUUGCUGUCACUUAUAGAUGGAUCCGCGCCGCAUUAGCUAGUUGGUAAGGUAACGGCUUACCAAGGCGACGAUGCGUAGCCGACCUGAGAGGGUGAUCGGCCACACUGGAAGUGAGACACGGUCCAGACUCCUACGGGAGGCAGCAGUAGGGAAUCUUCCGCAAUGGGCGAAAGCCUGACGGAGCAACGCCGCGUGAGUGAUGAAGGUCUUCGGAUCGUAAAACUCUGUUAUUAGGGAAGAACAAAUGUGUAAGUAACUAUGCACGUCUUGACGGUACCUAAUCAGAAAGCCACGGCUAACUACGUG
RNAcentral lists this ribosomal RNA (497 nucleotides) under uncultured bacterium. RNAcentral describes it as "partial 16S ribosomal RNA". It matches the Rfam family "Bacterial small subunit ribosomal RNA", at positions 28 to 507 of the family's 1533-position model. The record is from RNAcentral.